Dromaius novaehollandiae (emu) is the source of this 643-nucleotide long non-coding RNA. RefSeq lists it as uncharacterized. The transcript has 3 exons. The record is from RefSeq and is a predicted model, not a curated record. NCBI's taxonomy places the organism in Eukaryota, Metazoa, Chordata, Aves, Casuariiformes, Dromaiidae.
UGAAACGUGCUUGUGUGAUGAUGCUCGCGAGUGACACAAGGCUGAAUUUGAAGGGGAAGACGGGAAUAGAUUCACACCUUGUCACGGACUGCCGGCAGUGUAGGAGUCCGCUCUUGCUUUCUUAAGUGGCCCAAAGAUAGAGCAGUGCUACCGCUUUCUGUGGAGAGCAUGGGUCAGGAAGAAUUGCUGUACAUGUUCACCAGGGCAAUACUGAGAACAUAAUGCUUGAAAACAAUCAACUGAAACCAUGAAGAAGAAGAAGAAGAAGAAGAAGAAGAAGAAGAAGAAGAAGAAAGAAUAUGAAUUCAGGAACACUAGAAGUGAUAGUUUUCAGAUCUUCUGCCUUUUCUCCUUUUUUGUUCUUUUAAUCUCUUUUCUUUUUCUUUCUUUCUUUCUUUCUUUUCCCCUGUAGGUUCUCUGUAGCUGAUAUAUUCCAGUAUGGAACUGGAACUGAAGUUCAGCUUUUAUUUUUGCAGCUACCUGUUGCCCAGGCCUUUCAGAUGGGUCUCGUUUUUCCUUCCAUCAUCUUUGGAUCUGAUGGGAUUUAAUUUUCAUAAAUUAAUUAUUGCUACUAGAAAUGCUAAAUUAUAGUGAUGAACUUCUUUGGUUUAAGUUUAAAUAUAUAGCCUGUCAUUUACAGUGA